CGCUAUCACUCCUACGGGAGGCAGCAGUGGGGAAUAUUGCACAAUGGGCGCAAGCCUGAUGCAGCCAUGCCGCGUGUGUGAAGAAGGCCUUCGGGUUGUAAAGCACUUUCAGUCGUGAGGAAGGUAGUGUAGUUAAUAGCUGCAUUAUUUGACGUUAGCGACAGAAGAAGCACCGGCUAACUCCGUGCCAGCAGCCGCGGUAAUACGGAGGGUGCGAGCGUUAAUCGGAAUUACUGGGCGUAAAGCGCAUGCAGGCGGCCUGUUAAGUCAGAUGUGAAAGCCCGGGGCUUAACCUCGGAAUUGCAUUUGAAACUGGCAGGCUAGAGUCUUGUAGAGGGGGUAGAAUUUCAGGUGUAGCGGUGAAAUGCGUAGAGAUCUGAAGGAAUACCAGUGGCGAAGGCGGCCCCCUGGACAAAGACUGACGCUCAGAUGCGAAAGCGUGGGGAGCAAACAGGAUUAGAUACCCUGGUAG
RNAcentral lists this ribosomal RNA (472 nucleotides) under uncultured bacterium. Its description in RNAcentral is "bacterial SSU rRNA". It matches the Rfam family "Bacterial small subunit ribosomal RNA", at positions 328 to 793 of the family's 1533-position model. The record is from RNAcentral.